CAGUCGCCACGGGAAUACGGAGGGUGCAAGCGUUAAUCGGAAUUACUGGGCGUAAAGCGCACGCAGGCGGUCUGACAAGUCAGAUGUGAAAUCCCCGGGCUUAACCUGGGAACUGCAUUUGAAACUGUCAGGCUGGAGUCUUGUAGAGGGGGGUGGAAUUCCAGGUGUAGCGGUGAAAUGCGUAGAGAUCUGGAGGAAUACCGGUGGCGAAGGCGGCCCCCUGGACAAAGACUGACGCUCAGGUGCGAAAGCGUGGGGAGCAAACAGGAUUAGAUACCCGAUAGUCCCUGUCUCUUAUACA
This 301-nucleotide ribosomal RNA is filed under the name uncultured bacterium. RNAcentral's name for it is "partial 16S ribosomal RNA". It matches the Rfam family "Bacterial small subunit ribosomal RNA", at positions 509 to 808 of the family's 1533-position model. The record is from RNAcentral.